CAUGUACUAAACGGGGGCCGGGCAAAUACGGCUGAGAUUGUAACAGAAUGCGUUACUGACCGUAGAACCUGAACUGGGUAAUGCCAGCGGAGGGAGAGGUAGCUGACUUCAA
RNAcentral lists this non-coding RNA (112 nucleotides) under Brevibacillus laterosporus. RNAcentral describes it as "TPP sequence". It matches the Rfam family "TPP riboswitch aptamer (THI element)". From Rfam's summary of the family: Vitamin B(1) in its active form thiamin pyrophosphate (TPP) is an essential coenzyme that is synthesised by coupling of pyrimidine and thiazole moieties in bacteria. The previously detected thiamin-regulatory element, thi box was extended, resulting in a new, highly conserved RNA secondary structure, the THI element, which is widely distributed in eubacteria and also occurs in some archaea. The record is from RNAcentral. Lineage: Bacteria; Bacillati; Bacillota; Bacilli; Caryophanales; Paenibacillaceae. RNAcentral also lists the same sequence under 1 other name.